This 84-nucleotide microRNA precursor is filed under the name Bombyx mori (domestic silkworm). RNAcentral's name for it is "mir-2807 microRNA precursor family". It matches the Rfam family "mir-2807 microRNA precursor family". Lineage: Eukaryota; Metazoa; Arthropoda; Insecta; Lepidoptera; Bombycidae. The record is from Rfam by way of RNAcentral.
UUACCUGAAAUUUGUAUGCAGUUGGAAUAGCGCCCCUAGCGGCAAACGUAGGCAAACGUUCCAACUCCAUACAAAUUCGAGUUA